Molecule: non-coding RNA, 452 nt
Organism: Lolium perenne
Lineage: Eukaryota; Viridiplantae; Streptophyta; Magnoliopsida; Poales; Poaceae
Source: RefSeq, a predicted model, not a curated record
CCGGCUACCCGGCGGCGUCGGGAGCAUAUGGGAUCCGCGAGACACCUCCAUCAGGCGGCGGCGGCGGGACAUGGACAAAUCCUCCACCUCCCCCGCCUAACGCUUUGGCUUCGCCGCCGCCCGCUUAUCCCCAAGUCCCCAUGCCCAGGGCUGCAGGUUUGAAGCUGAAGAGGCCAGGUUGAGACUUCUACCAGUUUGUGUUAAACCCUAGCUUCAGCACCAGCGCGGCUAGAGAAGGUAGGGUCCCCGAAGGUGCAUAGAAUUAUCUAUUGAUACAGAAAGCAAUGAAGGAUACAGCCAACUUCUCAAGAAUAGAGAAACUGCAAACUGCAAUGCAGGAUACAGCCAGCUCCGCUGCUGCCUUCUUCAACCAAGUGCUUGUUCCCAGAACAUCAGGCAUUGAUAGUCACUUCCACUGUUCCACACCCACCGUGCCGCCUGCCAUGCUGCCA